GAUGCAUCUAGUGCAGCAACAUUCCGUGACAUGGUUCCGUAAAGCUUGCUUCUGCUGUCUGGAAGACUGGAACUCCAUUACAACAUAUAAGACUACUAUUCCAAACUUUCUGCAAACUGAAACAUGUGAUAUAUUCAUUGUGGACAGAUCUCUUGAUCUGAAACUGAAGUUGAUCUUGGCAAAAAAAAACCCAGUCGAUGACAUUAAAAUAGACAGAGUAUGGUGUUUGGUGGAGGUGCAGAUUGUGUGUGGUUAGUCCUAACACUGGAUAACUAGAAAUUUUUGUUUGCAAUAAAGAGCUAUGAAAGCAAUUUUAAGAAUUUGGAAUUCAAAAUAUACUCCAAUAGCAUGCAAGGGUUGGAUUCGAUUCCUA
Molecule: long non-coding RNA, 373 nt
Organism: Erigeron canadensis
Lineage: Eukaryota; Viridiplantae; Streptophyta; Magnoliopsida; Asterales; Asteraceae
Exons: 2
Source: RefSeq, a predicted model, not a curated record